Molecule: ribosomal RNA, 892 nt
Filed under: Leucoagaricus sp. MFLU 09-0039
Lineage: Eukaryota; Fungi; Basidiomycota; Agaricomycetes; Agaricales; Agaricaceae
Description: eukaryotic LSU rRNA
Rfam family: Eukaryotic large subunit ribosomal RNA
Source: RNAcentral
CUAACAAGGAUUCCCCUAGUAACUGCGAGUGAAGCGGGAAAAGCUCAAAUUUAAAAUCUGGCGGUCUUUGGCUGUCCGAGUUGUAAUCUAGAGAAGUAAUGCCCGCGCUGGACCGUGUACAAGUCUCCUGGAAUGGAGCGUCAUAGAGGGUGAGAAUCCCGUCUCUGACACGGACUACCAGGGCUUUGUGGUAUGCUCUCAAAGAGUCGAGUUGUUUGGGAAUGCAGCUCAAAAUGGGUGGUAAAUUCCAUCUAAAGCUAAAUAUUGGCGAGAGACCGAUAGCGAACAAGUACCGUGAGGGAAAGAUGAAAAGAACUUUGGAAAGAGAGUUAAACAGUACGUGAAAUUGCUGAAAGGGAAACGCUUGAAGUCAGUCGCGUUGGCCGGGGAUCAGCCUUGCUCUUUGCUUGGUGUACUUCCUGGUUGACGGGUCAACAUCAAUUUUGACCGCUGGAAAAAGGCAUGGGGAAUGUGGCAGCUUCGGCUGUGUUAUAGCCUCUUGUUGCAUACAGCGGUUGGGAUUGAGGAACUCAGCACGCCGCAAGGCCGGGUUUCGACCACGUUCGUGCUUAGGAUGUUGGCAUAAUGGCUUUAAGCGACCCGUCUUGAAACACGGACCAAGGAGUCUAACAUGCCUGCGAGUGUUUGGGUGGUAAACCCAAGCGCGUAAUGAAAGUGAAAGUUGAGAUCCCUGUCGCGGGGAGCAUCGACGCCCGGACCAGAACUUUUGGGACGGAUCCGCGGUAGAGCAUGUAUGUUGGGACCCGAAAGAUGGUGAACUAUGCCUGAAUAGGGUGAAGCCAGAGGAAACUCUGGUGGAGGCUCGUAGCGAUUCUGACGUGCAAAUCGAUCGUCAAAUUUGGGUAUAGGGGCGAAAGACUAAUCGAACCAU